Monodelphis domestica (gray short-tailed opossum) is the source of this 734-nucleotide long non-coding RNA. RefSeq lists it as uncharacterized. NCBI's taxonomy places the organism in Eukaryota, Metazoa, Chordata, Mammalia, Didelphimorphia, Didelphidae. The record is from RefSeq and is a predicted model, not a curated record.
AUUGCCAGACUUGUUUAUUUUAAUGACCUCUUCAAGCACAAUUCUCAUCUGGCUGAUUAGCUUUCCAACAUGCUCCUAAACAAAGAGAAAUCAGUCAUUCUUCAGAAGUUGACUUUUCCCCUCCUGGGCACCUCAUGAUCAGAAGGUAAUAGAGAUCUGUUCAUUCCUACCCGCCCCCGCCUCCUGCCUUGCAAAUCAUCACAAGCAUCCAUCAUUAUAUGAAGCACUUAAAUUGACAGUACUUUUCUCCUAGCUCCUUAAUGAAAUAGACAAUUCAAGUAUGGUUAUACCCAUUUUCCAGACAGUCCAGAAAAUACAAUGUUUCAUGUGACUCCUCUCAAGGGCCUGCUUAGGGUCCCAUGACCAUGGGGCUGCUUCAGUUUUGAAACAGACCAUGAUGUGAAAGGAAGAGCAAGGAGGAGAAAACCCCAAAGCACCACCACCUCCUCUAGACUUCAGCUGUGCUCAAGCAAGAGAGACUGAGUGGAGCCACAAUAGGAACAAAAGCAGCAGGAACAAACUGAGGAUAUUUAAACAGCUGGAGCAAAAAGCCCAAGUUAACCCUGAGAAAGGAGUAGGAGUCUGGAAAAAAGGGGAAUUCUUCUGGCACAAUACUGGAAAGCACUCUGGAUUUGAACUCACAAGACCUGGAUCUAAGCCCCAGACCAGAAUCCCUUGCUGUCAUGUUUUGCUCAUUUGUGAAAUGGGAAUGAUAUACUACACUAUCUUCCAGG